This 465-nucleotide ribosomal RNA is filed under the name Vreelandella stevensii. Its description in RNAcentral is "partial 16S ribosomal RNA". It matches the Rfam family "Bacterial small subunit ribosomal RNA", at positions 338 to 795 of the family's 1533-position model. Lineage: Bacteria; Pseudomonadati; Pseudomonadota; Gammaproteobacteria; Oceanospirillales; Halomonadaceae. The record is from RNAcentral.
CCUACGGGUGGCAGCAGUGGGGAAUAUUGGACAAUGGGGGCAACCCUGAUCCAGCCAUGCCGCGUGUGUGAAGAAGGCCCUCGGGUUGUAAAGCACUUUCAGUGAGGAAGAACGCCUGGUGGUUAAUACCCAUCAGGAAAGACAUCACUCACAGAAGAAGCACCGGCUAACUCCGUGCCAGCAGCCGCGGUAAUACGGAGGGUGCGAGCGUUAAUCGGAAUUACUGGGCGUAAAGCGCGCGUAGGUGGCUUGAUAAGCCGGUUGUGAAAGCCCCGGGCUCAACCUGGGAACGGCAUCCGGAACUGUCAAGCUAGAGUGCAGGAGAGGAAGGUAGAAUUCCCGGUGUAGCGGUGAAAUGCGUAGAGAUCGGGAGGAAUACCAGUGGCGAAGGCGGCCUUCUGGACUGACACUGACACUGAGGUGCGAAAGCGUGGGUAGCAAACAGGAUUAGAUAUCCUGGUAGUC